GCUUUCUGAAAAGCAAACAAGCAGGAGAGGAUUGUUGGGAAAGGAAGUGGCCAGGCCUGUCCAAGGGGAGGCAGGCGUGGAUUAGCAAUGGGAGCGGAGGUUCCAGGAGCUCGAUAAAGGAUUUGCCAGGGCUGGGAAUGCGGAGGGACAUCCGUCACCUCCCCUUCACUGCGUGAUAUCGUGACAUCGAGCGAUUUAUGACCAAACCAGAACCGACUAGUUUGGCAAAAGGGGUAUGGAGAGGAGCCAGUGGAGCAUCGUGGAAAAACUGCUCCUGCAAGGCGAUAGGGGAAAUUGUGUUAUUUUAAAAUUGCUGAUUUAUCGUACUUUGUUAAGUUGGUACAGCAAAUGGCUCUGGGAGUGCUGCCUGCUUGUGCAAGCUGCUUUUCUUGUGCUUUAAUCUGUUUUUCAGUACAAGAGCCACUCCAGUUUCAGCUCCCGCUCUGUAAGUCACAUUUUCAGCACGAUCAGUGUCAGGAAUUUGUAAAAUAAAUAAUUAAAUAAAUAGUGGUUUGUGUCUGUGUUGGGUUGAUUUUUUUUUUUUUUUUUAAGAAAAAAUCCUGGAGUAAAUAUUCCAUCAGCUGGUUGCUAAUUACAGCCAUUUGGGGAACGUUAAUUAGGACCACUUGCAGUGAACAUUGUUCAAGGAGGUUUAAAUUUCAUUUCUGCAUUUCAGUUUGAUUUUGGGUGGAGAGAGAAGUUGUGAGAGCUGUUACACCCAAUAAAGGGACUUACUUACUGAACCCCCCAGCUUUUCUGGACUCCACUGCCCUAAGAAACACCUCCAACUCUAAAGGGAACAGUUCACCCCCUCAGAGUGCCAGAACUGGACACCAGUAACAACCAAUCUAUGGUACUGUCCUCCACCUUUGUGUUUUAGGGGUGAUGGGGGAUCAUUUUGGUCUAAUUUUUCCUGUGUUUUUUUGACAGCACUUGAUGGGGCACUUCCUCCUCCUUCUCCAUACAUUGCCAGGGACCGCAUUGCCAGCAGGACCAAAUUCCGAGAGAGAGCCUCCUGGAGAAUCCACUGCAGCCAGGAAUGUUUUCCAAGACAUCCCUUGAUGCACCACUGAGUUCCAGGCCUGACAGAGGACCCAUGGCAACAGCCCUGGGCUCUGCCGGGUCAGGCUGGAACAGGAGGUGGUGACAUCUGAUAAGGAACAGAUAAACUGAGGUUGCACUAUCCUGUGACUCCCCCUCUCCUGCCCUGCAUUCCUCUGAAAUAAUUGGGGUUUUUCUUCUCACUCUCAAAUUCCGGACUGGGGCACAUCCCCUUCAGCACAUUCUGUAAAGGCAGCCCUUGUGUUUUGCAGUCCAAGUGCUCUGCUAGCUCAGCUCUGCUCCUGGGUGUCCAGCAGCUCAUUCUCGGCUGCAGUCAUAUCCUUCCCGACACUCCUCUGCUGCACACUCAACUAUGGUCCUCUCCACCUUCAUCCUCUGAAGAGCAGCUCAGAGCAACACUUCCAGCAGCAAUUUCCUUUCCAAGAUGCCAAAAUUGCACCUCAUACCAGACAUGGCAGCUGGUCCCUUUGUGGCACAGAGAGGGAAGGAAUCAACAAGUUGUAACUCUAUUUCUGGCUGUAAGCAGGAAUUUCAGAGCAGCCUUUAAGGAUCCCACUUGCUGUCAGCAGAGUACAGGAUACAGCUCUGAACGGGGAUGCACUGCACAGCCCAGCCUGGUACACCACUUCCAACUGUGCUGUGCCAGCACAUGUGAGACUGGGCUCCCUGGAACAGCAACAGUCUCUCAGGCUUGUGGAAUACACUAACUGCAUUUUCCCAAGCAUUUCUGUACUGCCAUAAGGUCUGGAAAUCUACUGAUAAAAGGGAGACAACUGGUAUUGGAGUGCCUCAAAGAUAACAUGCCAUUGCCUGACUCCUUCCUGAGGCCAUUCCAAGAGUCUCCACCCUCCUACACAAUGGAGUUUACCUCUGAAGUUGUUCCUGCCCCUCCCUCUGUCUACAUCUUCAGGUAUUGCAUUAGGGAGUCUUUGAUACCCAAACCCAGUAGGAAAGCAUCCAGGUCACUCAGCCUCCACAAAAGCAGCAAGCCAUGUGCAGCCUCAGAGCCCUGAUCCAAGGCAACGUGUGUGCUGCUGCUGGAGGAGGAAGGCAGCUGUGUGCAGGCACCUGGAAUCGUGCAGCCACCUGGAACUGCACCGCCACCAUGGCCCAGCCGAGGGCAAACAAAUCCCACAGGCAGGAAAGGAACACCUCUGUCAUCCCAAAGCACACAGUACUGGAAACAUCUCCUGGUUCUGCAAGCAUGUGAAACAAUGUGAUCCUCCUGAAUGUGCCAACAAGUCCUUCCCUGUCCUUGCUCACUCUUGGAUUCCCAGAAUAUCAGAGGGCUUUAUUCUCAACAGGGAUUGCCCCCUGCUUCUCUUUCUUCUGCAUAAAAUGGGCAAAACUGUGGUCAGAGAUGGGAUGGAGUUGAGCUGCAGGCUGUGGCAUGCACCUGCAGGAGCACAUCGGAGCACAAAGGAGCACAUGGCAGCACAGAGAGGCUUGUCUCUGCCUGACUUUGGGGGCAGGAGGUGCCACGUGGCAGAGCCAGGCAGAGAGGAGCCUGCCGGAAGUUGACAGAUGGGUGAACAGCCGUGACCACCCCAUAGAAGGACAUUAUUUCUUAAUAUCCUAGAAGAACUUGUUCUGCCCUGCGUCAUCAGGUGGAGCCGUAUUGCGGUGAGUAGCUGGAGCAGAGCGGGCCAUUUGUGGUAGAGUGUUCCCUCUCCAUUUGCCCUCUGCGAGAGUGUGGCAGCAGCAGCAGAGGCAGCAGCCGGAGGGCAUGGGGAGCCGCAGGGGCGCAGUGCUGUAGCGGCGGUGGUGAGUGCAAGGCACCAAGCACAUGGUGGCGAGCACGUGGCAGGGCUGUGCCAUGCUGGCAAGCACAUGGCACAGCCAGGGGCCGGCAACGAACGCUGACAUAGCAGGUCUGGUGGGAUGCGUGUGGCUCUCUGCAUGUGGGCAGUAAGAAGGUGACCCAAGGAGCCUGAUGGCACUGGGAGGGGCAGUGCCAUGUCCCUGCUCCCUGCACAUGGCAGGGUUUGCCCAGGGAGAUGAGGCCGCCAUCUUCUGCAGGAGUGGCUGCAAGCUUGGCAUAAAGUUCCUGGGCUGGUCUGUAAAACUCUGCUGUAAUGUUGCCACAAUCCUGGAGUCUAUCUCAAAGAUUGCUCUUUUACCACAUCACCUCGUGACCCCCUGGAUUGUUCUAACUGCUCUUUGUUAUGGAUGCUCUUGUAUUUUUAAGUCAUUUUUUGCUCUUGUUAAAAUCUAACUUUUAUGUUUUCACUAAGCUGUAGAUUUUGACAGGACUGUUAAUUAGAUUUAAGGUUAACUGGGUGAUGGUAGUAUAUUUCUGGAUCCAGACAGCAUUAAUACAUAGAGCUUUUAUGAAGGGCUUUAGUAGUAAGAUAAUUAUCUAAUGUUACUUAUAUGCAUUAUUUUGGUUACAUUAAUAAAGGUUUGCUUGUAGAUAUUUUGGGGAAACCCUCCCAGUCAAGGCUUGGGCCCUGGCCUAGCCCUGGCCCUGGCUGGUAAGGGAAGUAUACCAUCAGACCCAAGUAUUUCUGCGCUAGAAGUGUAAUCAAUUCAUUUUGACUUGCUGAUUUGGUCUUAUAAAAGCUGGAUCCACUUUUAAGGUAAACUUGGAAACCUUGCCCAGGAAAGGUUUUCCAGGUCCUCACUGUGAAAUGGGUCUAUGUGGUGGCAAACAGCAGGCCUGUAUAAGGUCUUGCAGACUGAAUCCUAAUUUGGUCCAACACAGCUGUGAGAAAGCUAACAGCUCUUCGUGAAAACAGAAGCCUGUAACGGCGAAAACUAACUUGUUUCCCUGCAAAAGAAUUCUACAAUUAGGACUGUUUUCCUGUACCUGUUUCAACAAUCCCAACCGUCUCAGCAAAAGAAUGAAAACAGUAUCUCACAAACAGCCCUUUCUUUCAUGUAGACACCUUGUCCAAGACUGACCAAUUACUAUGGGGUAACAAACAGCUUAUUACUGACCAAUAGGGGAUAGACAUGGGAGGGUUUAUAAAACUAUAUAAAGGGAUGUAUAAAAUAAAGUGGUAGCUUUUUUCAUGCCUUGAAAGAGUGUGUCUUGUCUCUCUGAAACGAGGUCAACAGUGACAGGGCUCUCCAGCGAUGGCACACUCUGGGUAACGGUAAAGUAUUUAGGCAGUUAAAGGUAUUACCUUGUUUUUGCUCAGUAGUGCUUGUUGCUUUGUAGAUGCAUUGUUUUACUGGGUUUAAAAUAUGUUCAUUUUAUAGUUGUUAAAACAAAAAAGAGGGAGUGUGGGGAUGGGCUAUAUUCCCCACAAAGGCCUUACAUGUUCUUAAUCACAUUCAGAAUGACCUAAACUCUGUCCAAUUACAUUUUUGCGAAUCACAAGCUCACUUAGACUUACUAAGAAUCUUGAAAGUAGAAAAUGAGAAGGACCCUUUCCAUUGAUAACCUGGGGGCAAAGUUAUGCUUGUGUUUUCAUAGAUUCCAGUCCAUGAUGGGUACCUGCAAGAGUGAUCCAACCAGCCUUGGUUGUUCUGGCUUUAUCAUCAACUUGUGGGGAAGCUGAGAGAACAAGAUGAAUGGAGUUUGUUUGGUUUGGGUUGUGGGCCAAUGUUGGGAUGUUCUAAUGUUGGGAGUGUUUCGUUUAGUGAUUCUUGUUUGUAUAAAACAAAAAAGAGGGAAUUGUGGUCAGAGAUGGGAUGGAGUUGAACUGCAGGCUGUGGCACGCACCUGCAGGAGCACAUCGGAGCACAAAGAAGCACAUGGCAGCACAGAGAGGCUUGUCUCUGCCUGACUUUGGGGGGAGGAGGUGCCAUGUGGCAGAGCCAGGCAGAGAGGAGCCUGCCGGAAGUUGACAGAUGGGUGAACAGCAGUGACCACCCCAUAGAAGGACAUUAAGAAAGUGUGUUGCUGACGUGGUGAUGUGUGAUUGGUCGCUUACUGAGAAUUACUGUAAAAGGAAAUAAUUGUGUCGUGAAGAAGCGUAUAAAAGCAGCUUGUUUCUUUGAAUAAAUGAUUCUGAUUCCUUGCU
Molecule: long non-coding RNA, 5033 nt
Organism: Vidua macroura (Pin-tailed whydah)
Lineage: Eukaryota; Metazoa; Chordata; Aves; Passeriformes; Viduidae
Exons: 5
Source: RefSeq, a predicted model, not a curated record